CUGGGAUGAUGCAGUUUAGCCAAAUCAGACACGAAUGUGCUCCAGAAGGCAUUGUCUUUUUAAGCCUGCAAUAUUUGCUUGGCUGAGUUGUUGUAAGUAAUGCAAUGACAUAGCUUUGCCUUCUGUUGAAGCGCAUCUCUGAUGAUAACAGCGAGAUCGGUUGCUAACUGACCAGA
Molecule: non-coding RNA, 176 nt
Organism: Eucalyptus grandis
Lineage: Eukaryota; Viridiplantae; Streptophyta; Magnoliopsida; Myrtales; Myrtaceae
Source: Rfam